UGUGCACAAGGGCACGCAUGAAAUGUCUGGCCCACGGUAAACAAGUACGGACGCUGCAAAUAAUCUACUCUGCUCGUCCAGUCCCUAGCCUAUAAAUAGAUGCCAUGCUAGCUCUUGUUGUGCUCACAAUUAAUCCUGACUACACACGAGCUUCUCUCCCUGGCCAAGACACAAUCAUAGUAUGAUGAAGAACAUGGCACUAGCCGGCAAUGGUAUGAAGAACUUAAUCCUCGCUGUUCUCUUACUGUGUCUAGUUAUAGGGCAGAUACAAGUGGAAGCUAAGAGCUGCUGCCCAUCCAUUACUGCAAGAAAUAUCUACAAUGCCUGCCGUAUCACGGGUACAUCCCGUCCAACGUGUGCAAAACUGUCAGGCUGCAAAAUUAUCAGCGGGGACAAAUGCAAGCCCCCUAACGACCACCUCACCCUUGACCCGGACACUGGUAAAUAAUAAAUUUAUCUCACUUGAUUUCUUCGUGUUUUGAGUCGUUAAUGUAUUUUCCAUCUGAUGAAACGUAUUGGUUUUGCAUUGAAGAGGAAGUUAAUGUGCUUAACUUCUGCAAGUUGGGGUGUGCGUCGUCUGUGUGCAACAACAUCAACGCUGGUAAGCACCUUUUGCUCAGACGGAGAAAACAAUAAUCAUUAAUUAGCGGCAGCUAGAAUCCUAUAAUCUAAUAUAUUUAUAUAUAUAUAUAAUUUUAUCAGCUCUGGGAAAUGAAGAGGCGAACGAUGCCGUUGAGAGUUGCGACCAAGCCUGCUCUAGCUUCUGCAACGUGCACGUUGGCGCUGCCACCGUGGUUGCUUAAGCAAAUGCAUCCAACUGGAUCGUCCUUGUGCUAAAUAAUUGGAUAUCGUAUCCACUUAAAGCUGCCUUGUGUAGUACGUUUUUGUUUGUGUCUCUCUUUAUAUUCCAAUAAGGUCGGUGAUCUUGAUGCCACACACUCAGACGUGUGUUCAUCUCCAGAUACUACUCCAUGCUACCUGCCCUUUGUGUUUUGUUCAAUAACUGGGUAUCAUAUCCCAGCCAGUGUGCCAUCUGUUUUGUGUUUAUUUCCUUCUAGUUUCAAAGGGGUUAUCAUGAUGUUACCUUCUUUCGAUAUGGUGCUUUGCAUGACUACUGUUGUAUGGUACCAUCUUGUUGGCCAAUAAAUACAUCUUAUCCUAUGACCCUUUGCUAUGACCCUUUGCAAAUAAGUACAAGAUUGUUAAAUACUCGGUAUAAAUUGACUACUGCUGUGAGUUCCCUUUCAGCUUAUCGUAGGCAUACAUUAUUGCUAGCACGGUGAAGACAACCAACACGAAUGGUCAAGUAAACGUACCGGUACUUUUGUAUACCAACACCCUUGCUUAAAUGUACCGGUGUUACUCCCCACUAGCACAUAUAUUCUUAUAUGCUAGCCGGCUUGAAAAUUAACCGAUUAAAAUAAUUAUUUCAAGACAGAAAUAACUUAUCGGCUUCUCGAAGCAUGUGUAAUGUGAAUUCAAGGACUUGAUGGAAGUUGAAUCGCUUAAUCUAGAUUGCUUUCAGGAUUUUGGGUAACUAAAUUUAACAUUUGCACAUACAAAUGUUAAUGUACAAAUAUUAAAUAUAGUUACCCAAGCAGAAUAUGAAGAUACUCUAUAGUAUAUAUAUACUAUAUAAAUCUAGUUAACAUUUAGUCUAAAUGUUAAAUCUAGUUACCUAAAAUCCUGAAAGCAAAAUGUAUAAAUAUAUAUCUUUUAAGGAAUCCCAAAGCAAGAGUUCAGUGGCAUUCUAUAGUCCCAUGCUGCUAGUUUGAGUUGGUCGAAGCCAACUUAAAUAGGAGAGCUCUCUCACUUCUCUAAAUACGUAACUGAAGGAGAGAAGGGGGCUUGGUUACACAACGCACGCACGCACGCAUAUUUGCGUUCUUUUCGCGUAACCAACCGCGUGACUUGAAACUUGCGACGUAGCGUGCUGCCAAGUCAAGUUGAUAUAACCUUUUUGCCGUAGGCGUGUAAUCUUUUGACAACGGUCAUUGGAGGUGAUAAGCACGCAGUCAAUACCUUAAUCCUGAGUUAAUAGGGCGGUUACUACUGCCAAUUAGUGGGGCAAUUUUGUAGGGGAAACGGUUAGCAGAGGGCUACCAUCUUCUCUAUAAGAAGUUCUGGAGACGUCCAGGAACACACAUGUACAUGUGAGAGACCCACGAAUUCCUUCCCAUCUCCCUUUUCCAUCUGGUGAAGUGUGCUAUGGUACUGAGCUGCUGGAUCUCGCCGGCUCUUCUCCUUGGCGUGCACCGAGGAGGAGGGUGAGCGGUAUCUCCGAGCUAUUGCCGUCAGGAAGCCUGCACGAGGGACAACAAUAAAGUUUUUGGGUAGCGCAACUACGCAACCGCUCGAUUCGAUCGACUAUGUUCUGCGCUGCCUCAUCUUCGAUCUGCACUGCAACACGUAACCCUGCAGCAAGUCUACACAAGGACGGAGCACUAAUCUGUAAGUCCUAGAUUGGUUUCUUACAGAGUUGUAGGUUACACAAGAUCUAGAAUUGUUACAUACUUAUUAUUAUGGGUUACAUGAUGUUUUGUACGGUUACGUCUAUUUUGCAUAUGCUAUUUUUACAUACCGUUUACAUGCAUAUGUAAUGGUUACGCCUAGCUAUUUGAAUCUAGAAUUGGGUUACAUAGCAGUAGCAAUGACUUACGUAAUAUGCCUCAUGUUUAUAUCUGGUAGAAUUUAACACGUAUCUCCAACAUAUUUUGAGGCAGUAUAAAUUUCAAUUCCUUUUGCUGCUCUGUUAAAUCCCGUCUUUCGUGUGGCCCAACACUCUAGUAUGCAUGUAGCACCAAGCUUGUUUGAGCCGCUUUGUGCUCUGAUUUUGCUGUCUGUAUCAGGUUGGACUGUUUCUUUGUCUUGCGAUGUAUAGCUUCAUAUCUUCUAGAGGUUAGACAGCAAAACCCGCGUUCUCUUAAGGCAACAACUCGAAGAAUCUGCAGCGCUCCUGAUAUAUCACUGCUGCAGAAACAAUCUUUAGUACUGAUUUCCAACCCCCUUUAGUAUCGGUUUGGCAAUCAGUACCACUACGUCGGUACUAAAGGGAGUUCUCUAGAAUCGGGUCAAAUAACUGGUACUAAAAGUGCUCCUCUACUACCAGUUGGUAACACCAAUAGGUAGUAACUUUUUUUGCACCCAAAAAAUUAAAGAAAAACAGCCGGGAGGCUCGCGCACACACGCAUCAUGAGUAAUAUGCGCGUGCAUGGUUUGUGGGAUUCCAACCCACGACCAAGCUAUAAGCACGUAGUUACAAAAAAAUUAAACACUUAGACAUUUUAGAGCAUCCCAAAUAACUACAAAUUCUUUAGUUUACCAUAUACCAUAAAAUAUUAGUUAAAAUAAGAGCAUACGCACGUCGGAAGAGUCCCAAUGCACCGGUUGAGGAUCAGACCAGGCACUUUGAAUGCACAUGCCAUAAGAUAAUUCUGCAGGACGAUGAUUGCAAUAAUGGACCAUCGAGAAGAUAGGGGCGAUGGGGUUGCCUCAUCAAUUAUGACUUGGCGCAACAAGACCAGCAAAGUCUUUAUCGACAGGGGUGGAUCAAGGGGUGGGGCGGGUAGAGCUCCAAUCUUCCUACCGCCGCUCGAACAAUGGAGCCCCCCUUAGCCCCUCCAUAAAUUUUUAGGUAGAAGAAAAAAGAAGAGAAGGGAAGGAAGGGGAAGAAUAGGGAGCCCCUCCUAAGUAGGUCGCCAUCGUGCUUCCCAACGCAUGAUCGCCGCACCGCAUCCAUUCCUCUACAAGCCUCCAGCGUCUCUCCUGCCGCUACCUCUGAACCAUGUGCAGCUGCAGACCCAACUAGUGUCUUGUCACCCAUCUCAAUCCCAACAGAGCGGCGGCUCCUGCCAGCACAAAUCUCCCUCCGCCUGUUCUUCACGAUCGAUGGCCACCACAAGCAUAAACCUCGCCUUCGCAUCCACGCAAAAGGGUCGCCGGUGUGCCUUCUCGCAUCGCUUCUCAGCCUCCUUCACUUGCGGCUGGCCAAGAACCGUGCCACCACCUCGGGUGCGCGCCACCGCUCCAGGGCCGCUACCCCAUGCGUGCGGCCGCCGCCGGCCACCACGCGUGUGCAACCGUGUCGCACCGCUUCCCUGCUCUGUGCCACCACUGCUACUGCACCACCAGCUCCACCACCUUGGGCUGGUCGCCAGGGUGACUGAUUGGUGGAUUAUUACUACAAAUAAGUUCCUUAUUAUCUGCAACUACUAUUAACUCAGGGAUACAUGCGUCUUUUGCUUCUCCUGUUAAUAUGUCCUAAAAUAUCUAGAAUGCCUUAUAUUUCUGGACGGAGGAAGUAUUUGAAUAAAAUGAACCAAUUUUAAAAAAUGUGUUGUACACUACUACAGAAAGAACUAUCAGUGUCAAACCCAAAAAUGUCGUCACUGCCAGUUUUGGGCAUCGUUGGUGAAAGGUUGGCGGUGAUGGGUAUCCCCUUCAACAACGGCACUAGAGCUAACAGUGAUUGACAUUAGAAAACGAAAAAGGGGACCCACCUAGCCACCCCUGCAACCCGGCUGGCCGUGCCUCCCGUCAUCCCCACCACCUCGCCUCCCCCGUGACCCCCCGCCGGCGCCCUUGCGCCUAGCCCCCUCGCCUGCCUGGCCGGCCACCCUCGUCACGAGAGAGAGGGGUGCAUGUUGUAUAAUUGCGUGAAUUUUUAAUGUUUAAUUUCAUGUAAGUUUCAUAUAAUAAAUUGUACAAGUUUUAUUGUAUAUAUGAAUUCCAUAUAUAUAUAUUUAUAAUUUAAUGUAUGGUUUCAUGUGUAUAUUUCAAUAAUGUGUAUAUUUAGUAGAUAGCCGAUUUUCUUUUUCUACAAGACAAGGGUUGAUGUAUAAUUACGUGUAUAUGUUUAUUGUACGGGCAAUUAGGACAAGUUUUGUAUAAAUUUCUUUUAUUUCAUGGUUGUUGUAUGGUUUCAUGUAUAUACAUUUAUUGUACUACUUGAGACAAUUUUUAAUUUAAUGUUUCUAUGGUUACAUGUGUGUAUAACUAAUUGUAUUAUUAGUUAAGAUGGGAGCCAAAGAGGAUGAAAGGUAUAUAAUGGAGCAGAUUAUUGCUGGCGGUAGUGGCUCAAACGUUGCAAGAACCUACAUCAAGGGUGAGGGUAGCUAGGUGGACAUGUACCUCAACAUGUCCAGUGAUGGCAAUGACGAUGAGGAGCACGAGCAUGACGUUUAUGAUAGUGCGGAACAAGACAUUGCAGAAUUGGAAGGUUCUAAUGAGGUGUGCUUCAUGUUGAUGAUCUGGUUGGCUUUUUUUCUUUGGUCACACCUUAGUUACCAUAGAACUUCGUCUCGGGAGAAGAUUGGAGGUGCUAUGGUGAUUGGAAUUUUAUUGCCUCCAAAUAUGAUUUCCAUCGAAUCAUAUCCCUUGUAUUUAUCUUCUUUUUAUUUGUGAGAGCAUCUUCUUUAUGCUUGCAAAACAAUUCAAGUGCACAUACUACACCUAGGGUGAUGAUUAGGAGUAGAAACAAUUGCCAACAAACGAACACCACAUCCUAAGAUUCUUAACUUGUGGUAUAAUUAGUCUAGUAAAAAGAAAGAUAAAAACCUAAUGGGUGUACGUGAGUGCAAUGCGUAUAUGCAUAUGAGUGGAAGGCAUAUAAGCAAAGAUAAUAUUUACACAUAGAUCUAAGCACCAUGUUUACAACUAAGUUGCUGAAUUUCUCCAUAGCUAUAGAGAUUAAUGAACCAAGGUCAAAACACCAUGUCUAUCCCAAGAUCAGUAAUUCUUUAUAGCACAAGAAAAAGAAAGCGCAUUGCAAAGUUUAUAAACCAACCAAUGCAGCAUGAAAACAAGAUGAAUAGCUAGCAAGGUUUAUUAAACUGAAUGAUGACGGUCUGCAAGCAAGUUUGAACACCAUCUUUACACAAGAUUGCAAAUGGAAAAUUCCCAUAUGAAGAACUAACAUGGAUAUGAAAUCAUUCAUCAUAAAGCGUAAAGAACAACCAAGCCAACCAUAUGCAAAGCAUGAAUGGAAUGCAAUGAAGGUGCAAGAGAACAUUUUUGGAUGAACCCAUUAUGAUGAUGGCAAAAUGCGCCGUGCCCCCCAGCCCCCGCGGUGAGAUCCCGCCGCUCGCUGCCGCCAGACCCUAUUAGGCCUCCACCGGCAGGUCCACCCACGGUCCCGCGCGACGUGGCAGCCUCUUGGCUCUCGGCGCUCGCGGCACGCCAGUGCUGGCGCAGCCCCACCAGGCGACUACCCUCCCCCCAUAAGGCCUCGGCCCCUCCCCAGCGCCGCCCCCCAACACCAGGACUGCCUGCUGCCCCCCACCGUGAGGUAAUCGAAAUCGACUGCUCAAUCUCUCAAUCUGUUGAUAUGAUGCACACGGUUGCAAAAAUAGAUGUGUCAAAAUAGAUGUUUUGCCAAUUGCUAUAGAUGCAUACGGUUGACAUGAAGUCAAAAAUGACAUUUGGUUCCUUGUAGGCAGUCAAAAAUGAAGAAGUCAAAAAAUAUUGAUCUGAAAUCAAUGUGGGAAAGGGCUAUGAAGACACGCAGGUAGAUUCCCUUGUGAACUUUUUAUGUCGUUCGUCUAAAUAAUUUUUUGCAAUGGGCAUACCCUACUCUGAAAUCCUGGGUCCGCCACUGAUGAUGAUGGUCUAAAAAUAAACCAAGCCUAGAUUAAUUAGCCACAACUGAAAUUAAGCAAAGGUUAAUGUCAUUGACCCUAGCUCUAUCCUAGCUUUUACCAAAGUUCCGGCACAUAUAGUGGUUGGGCCCACUCUCUCUGCUUCCCUCUCUGCUGCAUGCACGCACACGAGCAACGGGAGGCCCGACGAAGCCCAGAAGGGUUCGGCCGAACCAGUAUGAGCGCCGCUCCCUCCCAGCCUUCGCGCAGAUGCUCCUCCAACGUUCCUUGACCCCUCCCUCAGCGUCCCGUUGGGUUUAACAUUGCAGGAGAGGAGUCCCUUUUUUAAAAUCUCAACCACCUCCUCUCCCCAUUCACUCCACUCUCAUCUCCAUCAAACUCACCAAGAUCCGCACCGGAAAUCCCUGCUUACCACCAUGGCUGGCAAAGCCCUCAUCCCUUUCACCAACUUGGGCUUGACCACUGAUCUCGAUGGGGAAAUCACUCUGGCAAAUAUGCGUGUAACACUGCCCCCUUUGCCGAGGGUUAAAGCCAAAACACUCAGCAAAGUGGAUAGUACCCCCCUUUUUACCCGUUUUGUCAUGUAUAACGGACCCCUCUCAAUUCACAAUAGACAUCAUCAUAGGCAUUUAUAAUAAACAAUCACAGGCAUAAUUCACAAUCACCAUUACAAGCAUUAUUCAUAAAUAUCACAGACAUAAUCCAAAGUAAGCAUGAAACAAGCCAUAAAUCCAAGUUCAAGUCACAACUAAGUUUCAUCCAAGUUCAAGUCACAAAUGCAAUGUCUAAAUCCAUGGAGGCCAAGGAGACCACUGCGACAAAUCUUGGUCUUCAUUAUUCGAAGCCGCCGAUUGAUUCUGCACAUAGGAUAGGACAUUCUGAGCUAACAUCUAAAGUUGUCAAAAUUAAAGUAUUCAAUCUUAAGCACAAUGUGUCAAAUGACUCACAGGAGUAGUUGUGGGUGGCUGAGGCGGAGGGAACAGCAUCGAUGGCGGUGGCAAAGAUUGACCCAUGCUCGAAGCAAAAUUCUGCAUGUACUGGAACAUCUGGUCCAUCCUCAUCCGAUUUUCUUCCUCCAUCCUCUGCCGCUCGGCCUCUAACCUCCGCUGAACCAUCUGCUCCAUCCUCGCCGCCAUCUCCUCUUGUUGCUUCCUUGCUGCUUCCACCUGGGCCUACAAUAUUUCAUUGCAAUGUUACAAUGCAAAGCUAAAGUAUAGCAACCAACGAACAAUGAAUGGAAGAGAAAGAACCUGGAGAGCCUCCAUCUGGAACUGUCCAAUGGUUGGUCGUAGCCGUAUCGCCGGGCUCGAGUCCGUGCUCCUUGCUUGGAUCUGGGAGAGAGUGGCAGUAGAGGCCGUGUUGAUUACGCCGUCGCCAAUCCAAUAUCGGCCAUGCUUCUUGCCUCCUCCCACCCUCAUCACGAUUUCUCCAUCAAUAUCCUCAGAGCUUGAAUCGAAGUCUGGCCCGUGAACCUCCCUUGCCAUCACUGUAUAUUCCUUUGCCGAGUGCCCGAGAUAAAGCACUCGGCAAAUAGAAAACACUCGGCAACUUUACUGUUUCCCGUAGUGUCGCUAUUUUUGCAGGUUCUCGACCAGGCCAGUUCUUUGGGCCAACCUAUCAUUCACGACUUAAACAUACGGUGGCUGUAGAAAUGUUCUAUUCUUUUCAACAAUACCAGCUGGUUCCUCCGUUUUUAUUCCACCAAUACAAGCACCACCUUGUAACAUUUCCUAUGUUUUUUUUUCCUUUCGUCUGUUUUCUACAUGCGUUGCUCUUUCAUGCAUUUUUUUCCAUUCCUGUAUUCCAAAUAGGUCUACAUGAACACAAAAUGAACUAGGGGACAGAAAAAGCCAGUGAAGCCAAUUUUGAGCUUCACCAGCUACUUGCUACAUAAAGUGUGCUAUAGUGACGUGUUUUAGCAAAACAUGUUAUCAAUGACUUGACAUUGGUGACGUGUUAAAACGCGUUAUCUCAAUGGCAAAUCAUUGGUGACGUGUUUUAAAAAAACAUGUCACCGUGAGAGUCAUUGGUGAAGGGUAAUUAUAAUGCGUCACUAAUGUUGUAGCAUUAGUUAUGAUAAUUUAGUAACGCAAAAAUCUACCAUCAGUAUUGAGCUUUAGAGCCAUCGCUAAUGUGGGUUUCUUACAUAGUGAUGCAAGCUCUACAAGGUGCUGUUGCUGCCAUUUUAAAGCAUCCCAUGACUACAUGUUAAUAACAUAGUUUACCAUAUAUCAUAAAAAUAUUAGUUACAAUAAGCACAUACGCAUGUGGAAGAGUCCGAAUGCACCGGUUGAGGACUAAACACAUUGAAUUACUAGAACCAAAUGUGUGUUUAGAACAAAGACAGGGGUCAAGGUUUGGGUAACCGCAUUAAAAACAUUGGAUUUUACUGUACAUGAACACUUAGUUACCAUUACCAUGCCUUGAGCACCUAGUUACAACAAACAUUAAUUUAGCCACUUUAGAGCUUCCAGAAUCGCUAUAAAUAAUAUACCUACGCCGUACCAUGAAAACAUCAAGAAGAGAGACGGAUACAUGGACCACCAUCAAGCGAGUAGUGACAGCACGCACAAGAAUACCCGGAACCUGUUAGCUUGUCUGUAGUGAUCUGUUUUCUUCCCCAUAAAAUCCAUGAGUAUUGCCACAAAUAAUGAAAGAGGCUGACCAAGCUAGCAAGGAGGUAGAGCAAACGUGAUACACGGCCUGCCAAGAUUGCCCUGGAUACGCCAAUAAGAGCGACAGAUACAUGGAUCACACCAAUAUGGUGAAACGUAUAUUCAUCACACAAGCAAAGCUGGUCAGUUUAUCCAUGGUCAAAUUGUGGUCUUUGUUUUCACUUGAGAGCUAAUUGAGGCACUAUAAUAUGGGCAGGCCUAUCUUCAACAGACAUGACAGCUACAGGGAACUUGACAUAAUUUGCUGGGCCGCCUGUGCACAAUUAUUUGUUUUAUUGUCCUUGCAUAGAAUGCUAAAAUACUCUUUACAAAAUGUUGGAUCUAAUAUUUGAAAUAUAGAGUAGUAAUCAUAUAUUGAUCAACAACUUGAAAUUAUCUGUACAUUCUCGGUGAAGCUGUUGAACUAAUUUUUGCAAAUUAUUAAUUCAUCUCAUUACGUAAAGAAAAAAGUAAGUGGAUAAGAUAUUUCGUGGACCACAUCACUGCAAACAUGUCAUGGAGAGACAGACCAAGGAGGCAGGACGUGAUACACGACUUACCCUAGGUUGCCGUGGAACCGCCAAGAAGAGAUACAGAUACAUGGACCACACCAUCUUGGGAGUAGUGACAGCAUAUAUGCAGAAGAAUACCCCGUGCCUAUUUGCAUGCAUGUCUCAAGUGAUCUGUUUUCUUCAGAAAAUACAUGAGCAUUGCCAGAAAGAAUGGCAAGAGACAAACAUGUCAUAGAGACUUGCAUGUCUUGCCUUGGAUACGCCAAGAAGAGGGACACAUACAUGGAUAACACAAAUCUAGUGACACGUAUAUUCAUCACAAAGGCAAAUCUGAUAAUUUUAUCCAUGGAGCAGACCAAGGAGAAAUUGAUGACGGACAUGUGAUCUCUGUAUUCAGUUGAAAGCUAAUUGAGCUACACUAAUAUGAGCAGGACUAUAUUCAAGAGACUUGUUGAGAGCUACAGGGAACUUGUAAUAAUUUGCUGGGCGGCCUGCGCACAAUGAUUUGUUAUACAUAGUUGAAAUAUUUCAAGAAUUUAUCAACCUCAUACUCUGAAACCCUUGGUGCAAUGUACUCUGCUUUCCGAGGUAGACUGUUCACGUAAAAUGAGGUCAUGCGUAAGACGGAAUCGGAUUGGAUUCACAGGGAAUCAGAUUUGGAUAGCACCUUUUAGCAGGUUUUUAGUCAAAUGCAAAUUCGGAUCCACAUGUGGUUGAAUGCGAGUUCAAAAUUCUACUUGGAUAUCCAUUUAAUUUAGGUGAUAGCAAUUAGCACAAAAUGUUGGAUGAACAAAAUCAUAGUUAGACAUACAAUUACAUGUAUGGUUAAAGUAUAAUACAAUACACCAAGAUUAUUCCUUGAAAAUAUUUCUUAAAAAUAUUAUAAUAAAUGAAUAAAUAUAAUUGUGGCCACCAACAAAUAGUCGGUGGUCGCUAAGUUGGAGCCAUUUCUGGUUACUAAUGCGGCCUUCUCCUCGACCAGCGACGACAGCUGAGCUUGUUCCUUCUGACACUAAAUCAUCAGAGUCUUCCCUCCACUACUAUAGAAUGCACCUUUAGCACCAAUUGGGAAAUCCCCUUCAGUAUUGGAUGCUGCAACCAGUGCUAUAUAUCAAAAUGGAGACUAAAAGCCUCGGUCUUGGGUACCGGUUGCAUAACGCAUUACUAAAGGAGGCAAAAGAGAAAUGUAACAAAAAAAAUAUUUUGAAUUCCAAGAAUGUUUCACUAUUCAAGAUGACUAGCUGAGAGUCAACAGACAAGAUACUAGGAAUGUGGGUGCUUGAAUGCAUUUGUACAGAGGUCAUACUAUUUACAAACUCUUCUAUGUUUCCAUAUGACUACCUACUUCAAUGUCACGCGAGCCAUUCAGCUGGACACAUGGCACACUAGCUUGCAUGUCGAAUCCAUGAUUAAUUAUUUCCACUUGUGAUCUCUUACCAGUAUUUGUCCAGACUAGAAACGUGCAACACAUUUUUAGGAUAUGGACACGCAUAUAUUUGGACUAGUAUACAGGUCACCUUUGGAUGCGUACAAGGAUGACCGGGAGGGACUAGAAAUGGUCUAGUUUUGAUUGGACUACAAAACUUUUUGUACAGUGAAUAGAGAAUAUAUAUUAUUGUUGGAAUACGAGGUAGGCUACACUAUCGCAAUUCUGAUAUUCUACCGCGUAUAACCAAGAAGAACUGUCGUAUAAGGAUCACGGGAUUACCACUCGACGCACUACUGGUGCGGAAGAUGUAGAUAUGCGUCGAUGCAGUGAAGACGAUCACGUAGUCGUAUGUAGUCGAUCAACGUAGUCGUACAUAGUCGAUCACGUCCAGCAGCUCCUCAGCAGCUCGUCCACGUGCAGCAAGAUCGCCUCCGGUACCGCGGCUCGUCGUUGGCUUGUCGUGGCUCGUCGACGGCUCGUCGGCGGCUCGUCCAAGUGCUGCAGGCGCAACACCUCCAAGGUAUCCACACGUGCAGGGAGGAAGCGUCGCAAGCCGGACUGCUAGAUCCACGAGUUGCAACAGGCGAGGGCGUGGGAGGCGCGGCAGGUGUGUUUCGCCAAAAAGGUGUAAACCCUAGGGCGCCCCCACCCCUCUAUUUAUAGAGGUUCCUGACGGGCCUCUGGAUCCGAGGCCCAUUAGUACUUCUAAACCUAAUCCAACUCGGAUCAGAUCCGAAUUGGGCUUCCAGCCCCUUAAGUGUGUGACCCUAUAAGUUCGGAUACGUAUAGACAUGGCCCGAGUACUCCUACUCGGCCCAAUAGUCGGUAGCGGCCUCUAGCAAGACGUGCCAACUCCUAUACGCACACGAAGAUCAUAUCAGACGAACCAUCACAACAUAAUAUACAUGCUAUUCCCUUUGCCUCACGAUAUUUGGUCUAGCUUCAAGCCGACCGCUCUUUCUCAGUCCUGUGAUUCGGAAUCCCUUUGUAGGUUAACUCUUAACCGUACGUAGCAUGGCCAUGCAUUUUCGGAUCUGAUCACUCGAGGGGCCCAGAGAUAUCACUCUCAAUCAGAGAGGGGCAAAUCCCAUCUUGAUUGACCAUGUCUCAUAGCAUGCUUCUUGACAAACCUAAAAACUACCUUUAUAACUUCCCUGUUACGGCGUAGUGUUUGAUAGCUCCUAAGUAGGUCGAUCCACAUCUAGAAUACAUGCGACAAUUUCAGGUCUAAGGACAAAGCGUAUAUGUUGUUUAAAGAGAGAACUACUUCUCGUGUUGGGUCAGUCCCAGCACAUGUCUCCACAUGUGUCCACAUUAUUAGUUCAACAUCUCCAUGUCCAUGACUUGUGAAACAUAGUCAUCAACUAAUACAUGUGCUAGUCUAAUAUUCAUGUGUGUCCUCACAUGAACUCCGACUAGGGACAACUUUAGAAUAACCAUACAAGUAAAGAGUUUCACAUACAAUUCACAUAAUUGCAAAUCAAUUCAAGUAGCCUUCAAUGGAUAUUCAAUGAACACAACAUACAAAUCAUGGAUACAAAUGGAAUAUCAUCAUCUCUAUGAUUGCCUCUAGGGCAUACCUCCAACAGUCUCCCACUUGCACUAGAGUCAAUCUAGAAGGUACCUAAUACCCAUAGCUCUUACAUGCGCAUCAUGCUUAGCCUGCGGGAGUGGUUUUGUCAACGGAUCAGAAAUGUUCAGAUCCGUGUGUAUUUUGCAUAUCUUGAUCUCACCCCGGUUAACGAAGUCUCGAAUGAGAUGAAAUCGCCGCAUUACAUGUUUGUUCUUCUGGUGGUUCCUUGGCUCCUUUGCUUGCGCAAUUGCCCCAUUGUUAUCACAGUAGAGAUUCAAUGGGCUGGACCCAUUCGGGAACACACCAAGCUCAAUGAGGAAAUUCCUUAUCCAAACACCUUCCUUCGCGGCUUCCGAAGCCGCGAUGUACUCGGCUUCUGUCGUAGAAUCGGCCACCGUCUCCUGCUUGGAACUCUUCCAACUAACAGCACCACCAUUUAGCGUGAACACAAAUCCUGUUUGUGACUUUGAAUCAUCUCUGUCGGUUUGGAAACUAGCAUCGGUGUAACCUGUUACAACGAGCUCCUCCUCACCUCCAUAGACGAGGAAUAUAUCUUUAGUCCUUCUCAAGUACUUAAGAAUGUUUUUCACCGCUGUUCAGUGACUCUCACCUGGAUCAGAUUGGUGUCUGCUUGUCAUACUUAGCACAUAUGAAACAUCUGGGCGAGUACUUAUCAUUGCAUACAUGAUAGAUCCAAUAGCCGAGGCAUAUGACACUCUACUCAUGUGAUCCCGCUCAUCAGCAGUCGAAGGACACUGAGUCUUGCUGAGAUGUAUGCCAUGUGACAUAGGCAAGAACCCUUCCAUGCUGAACCGCUUCAACACUUUGUCAAUGUAAGUAUCUUGGCUUAAACCUAUAAGCCUUCUCGAUCUAUCUCUAUAGAUCUUAAUGCCCAGAAUAUAUGCCGCUUCCCCUAAGUCCUUCAUCGAAAAACUAUUUUUCAGUGAAGUCUUUAUGGACUCAAGCAUAGGAAUGUUAUUUCCAAUCAGUAAUAUGUCAUCCACAUAUAAGAUUAGAAAUACUACAGAGCUCCCACUAACCUUCUUGUAAACACAAGACUCUUCUUCGUUCUUGGUGAAGUCAAACCCUUUGACCACUUCAUCAAAACGAAUGUUCCAACUCCUAGAUGCUUGCUUCAAUCAAUAAAUGGAUCUCUGAAGCUUGCAUACCUUUCCAGCAUUUUUCGGAUCGACAAAACCCUUGGACUGUAUCAUAUACACGUCCUCAGUUAGGUUUCCAUUCAGGAAAGCUGUCUUGACAUCCAUCUGCCAUAUCUCAUAAUCGAAAUAUGCAGCCAAACUUGAUUGUCUCCCAUGGACUCUAUUUCGGAUUGCAUGGCAUUCUGCCAUUUUUCGGAGUCUGGGUCCAUCAUUGCUUCUGCAUAUGUCACAGGCUCAUCAUUGUCCAACAAUAAUAUUUCCUGCAUUUCGCGGAGCCUUGCCGACCUUCGUGGUUGUGGCGGUGCUUCUCUUGCCAUGGGUAUCUCAACUUGUUCUGCUACGUUAGCAUCACUCAUUGAUUCUUGCCCGAUCGGCUCAUCUUGAACUUCUUCAAGAUGCACUGUCUUUCCACUCUUUUCUCCUUUGAGAAACUCUUUCUCUAGGAAAACCCCGUUCCGAGCGACAAACACUUUGCCUUCUGAUCAGUUGUAAAAAUAAUAUCCCAAAGUUUCCUUUGGAUAUCCCACGAAAAUGCACUUAUCCGACUUGGGUGCGAUCUUGUCCGACUGAAGUCGCUUGACAAACACAUCACAUCCCCAAAUCUUUAGAAAAGACAAACUAGGAACCUUUCCAGUCCAUAUCUCAUAUGGUGUCUUAACUACGGAUUUAGAUGGUACCCUAUUAAGUGUGAAAGCUGCUGUUUCUAGAGCGUAUCCCCAAAAUGACAACGGUAGGUCCGACUGGCUCAUCAUUGAUCGAACCAUGUCUAACAAAGAUCGAUUACGUCGCUCGGACACACCGUUUCUCUGAGGUGAUCCAGGCGGCGUAAGUUGUGGAACAAUUCCGCAACUCUUUAGAUGAUUGCUAAACUUGUGGCUCAAAUACUCGCCUCCACGAUCAGAUUGUAAGGCCUUAAUUUUCUUGACACGCUAAUUUUCAACUUCAUUCUGAAAAUCCUUGAACUUUUCAAAGGUUUCAGACUUGUGCCUCAUCAAGUAGACAUAGCCAUAUCUACUAAAAUCAUCAGUGAAAGAUAUGAAGUAUUGGAAUCCUCCUCUAGCCGUCGUGCUCAUUGGUCCGCAUACAUCACUAUGUACGAGUUCCAACAAGUCUACUGCUCUCUCAGGAAAUCCUGUGAAAGACGUCUUGGUCAUCUUGCCUAGCAAGCAAGCCUCACAUGUCUCGUAUGAUUCAAAAUCAAACGAAGUUAGAAGUCCAUCAGAAUGGAGCUUCUUCAUGCGUUUUUCACUUAUAUGACCCAAACGACAAUGCCACAAGUAGGUAGGACUCAAAUCAUUAGGCCGAGGCCUUUUAGCACUUACAUUACAGACAGGUGAACCAUCAAGAUUUAAAACAAAUAAUCCAUUCACAAUGGGUGCAAAAGCCAUAAACAUAUUAUUCUUAGAGAUCACACAACCAUUGUUUUCACUCGCAAAUGAAUAACCAUCCUUCAUCAAGCAUGAAGGAGACAAAAUGUUUCGACUUAAACUAGGAACAAAAUAACAAUUAUUCAACUCCAUAAUAAAUGCUGACGGGAGGUGGAGUUGCAUCGUCCCGACGGUCAACGCAGCAACUCUUGCAUUAUUGCCCACGCGGAAAUCAACUUCUCCUCUUUCCACGCUUCUACUUCUUAUCAUUCCCUGCAUCGAAUUGCAAAUAUGAGCAACCGAUCCGGUAUCAAAUACCCAAGAAUUAAUAAUUGUAUCAGCGAGAAAUAUGUUGUCUAUGACAUUAACAACAAGCGUACCUGAGGUAGAAGUACUCUUACUUCCUCCAUUCUUCAACGAAGCUAGGUACUGCUUGCAGUUUCUCUUCCAGUGACCAAGUUCAUGACAGUAAAAGCACUCUUUGUCUGGAGCAGGUCCAGGUCCAGCUUUAACCUUGGGCGCUCGCUGGGUUUGGCUUGGAAAUUCCAGCCUUGCCCUUCUUCUUCCAAGAAUUGCCCUUCUUCUUAAAGCUAGGCUUGUUCUGUAUAGCCAUCACAUGGCUAGUACAAGCGCUUUUCUUGAUGUCUACCUCUGCUGUCUUGAGCAUACCACACAGUUCAUUCAAACCCUUCUCCGUCCCAUGCAUAUGGUAGUUCGAGAUGAAGUUCCCAUAGCUAGGCGGAAGAGAUGAAAGAAUGAAGUCAGUGGCCAACUCUUUGCCCAUUGGGAAGCCCAGCUUCUCCAAUCGCUGAGUGUAACCAACCAUGUUGAUUACAUGUGGUCCUACUGCUGCGUCUUCUGCUAGCUUGCACUCCAGAAAAGCUUUGGACACAUUGAACCUUUCAGUCCUAGCCUGUGUCUGGAACAUGUCCUUGAGCGCCACGAUCAUAUCGUGUGCCUCAUGAUUUGUUUCGAACUGCAUCUGCAGCUCGGGUUCCAUGCAAGCAAGCAUAAGGCAGCUUACCUCAAGAUUAGCAUCAAAUGCCUUCUUGUAAGCAGCCUUAACGGCAGCAGAUGCAUCAUCAGCAGGUACUGGUGGUAGUGGGGUAUCUAGAACAUCUUCCUUUUUAUCGGCCCUGAGAACAAUUCUCAGGUUACGGAUCCAAUCCGAGUAGUUUGUUCCAUUCAACUUGUCCUUCUCAAGGACCGAGCGCAAAGCAAACGAUGUGGUGGUGUUGCUAGGUGCCAUUUAAUCUACAACAAAAGUAAUGCAAAAUACACUAAGACAAACGUAUCCAUGAUAGAGCAAAUUACAUUAAACUAUUUUAACAGAAUCUACUCCCACUAAAAUCAAUAUCCCUCUAUUGAAACUUAGUGAUUCAGGAUCCACAACUAACAAGUCUACUAGUGAGCUUUAGCAUCACCGCUAGCAAACGAGGUAGAUCGGUAAGCAACUUUUGCUAAUCAUAUCACAUAUGACUCCUGUUGUUGGGUGACAUCUCCAUGUCUCGGCGCCCAACCAUUAUGCCCCAAGGUCCUUAACCGUUAAGAUGACCUCGUUAAGCAAACCAACCCUUAUGCGUGUAAGUGUCCGACACAAACCCGUCUAGUCAAGGAAAACUAGUGGCACCCUAAUUUCAUAGACCCACCACUAAUUGUACAAGACAUGGGACGGUGCAAGUUUUAGUUGGGAGGGCAUACUAACUUAAAUUUUUUGUGAGGGAUCGUUCUACUUCUAACAUCACAGCAUGCAGAAAGUAAAACAUAAACAGAAUAGCAUUCACACAGCUGUGACACAGUAUGGCCCGUUUUUAUAUGGUGAUCUCCAUCUCCAUAGAACCUGUUCACCAUGGUGAUCUCCAUCUCCAUGUUCCAUGUGCGCCAUCCUCCUGGUGAGGAGUCCUCCAAGAACUAGAACAUGCUAUUACACCUAAUAGCUAGUAAAGAAUCUAGUAAUGAAGAUUACAUAGUUGCUUGGAUCAUCACAGAUUGGUACGCAGACCAUUAAAUACAAUAAAGUGACAACACAUAUGGCUCCUGCCGUGUUGCCGUACGCGCGACACGCAGGUCACGAAUGAGUUACACACAUGCAUCACAUACACAAGGGGGCCAUACUGAUCACAAGAUACAUACAUACAUCCUGCAAAACAGAGUUAGGCGUCCUAACGUUCCAAACUUCGAAGGCCCGAAACUCCAUCUUCCAAGCCGAAUUUGGGAAAUCUAAUUUUGCCGAAAACGGCAAAGCGGUUGAAUUUCAUGUGUAACUUUUUCUGUAGAUCAAUUUUCAUAUAAAAUUCGCCCCGAUCCGAGAUCGUACCGAAAAGUUACGGCUGAUUUACCGAAGCAUACGCAUACGGCAAAAAUUCCGACCCCGGCAGUAGAUCCCAUCUACUAUUGCACAUCUAAUGCGCCUGGCGUAUGAUCCUGGAUUUCGAUUCGACCAAUCAUAUUGAUCUUCGCUCACUGCAACUGGAAUUACGUGUAUCACUUAACUCGUCGGCGGCUCGUCGGCGGCUCAUCCAAGUGCUGCAGGCCCAACACCUCCAAGGUAUCCACACGUGCAGGGAGGAAGCGUCGCAAACCGGACUGCUAGAUCCGCGAGUUGCAAUAGGCGAGGGCGUGGGAGGCGCCGCAGGUGUGUUUCGCCAAAAAGAUGUAAACCCUAGGGCGCCCCCACCCCUCUAUUUAUAGAGGUUCCUGACGGGCCUCUGGAUCCGAGGCCCAUUAGUACUUCUAAACCUAAUCCAACUCGGAUCAGAUCCGAAUUGGGCUUCCAGCCCCUUAAGUGUGUGACCCUAUGGGUUCGGAUACGUAUAGACAUGGCCCGAGUACUCCUACUCGGCCCAAUAGUCGGUAGCGGCCUCUAGCAAGACGUGCCAACUCCUAUACACACACGAAGAUCAUAUCAGAUGAACCAUCACAACAUAAUAUACAUGCUAUUCCCUUUGCCUCACGAUAUUUGGUCUAGCUUCAAGCCGACCGCUCUUUCUCAAUCCUGUGAUUCGGAAUCCCUUUGUAGGUUAACUCUUAACCGUACGUAGCAUGGCCAUGCAUUUUCGGAUCCGAUCACUCGAGGGGCCCAGAGAUAUCACUCUCAAUCAGAGAGGGGCAAAUCCCAUCUUGAUUGACCAUGUCUCAUAGCAUGCUUCUUGACAAACCCGAAAACUACCUUUAUAACUACCCUGUUACGGCGUAGCAUUUGAUAGCCCCUAAGUAGGUCGAUCCACAUCUAGAAUACAUGCGACAAUCUCAGGUCUAAGGACAAAGCGUAUAUGUUGUUUAAAGAGAGAACUACUUCUCGUGUUGGGUCAGUCCCAGCACAUGUCUCCACAUGUGUCCACAUUAUUAGUUCAACAUCUCCAUGUCCAUGACUUGUGAAACAUAGUCAUCAACUAAUACAUGUGCUAGUCUAAUAUUCAUGUGUGUCCUCACAUGAACUCCGACUAGGGACAACUUUAGAAUAACCAUACAAGUAAAGAGUUUCACAUACAAUUCACAUAAUUGCAAAUCAAUUCAAGUAGCCUUCAAUGGAUAUUCAAUGAACACAACAUACAAAUCAUGGAUACAAAUGGAAUAUCAUCAUCUCUAUGAUUGCCUCUAGGGCAUACCUCCAACAAUUAUUUCAUGUAAAUUUUUGACAAUUUUUUAAAAUUGUUUGAUAUUUUUUAAAUUUUUUUUAAAAUAACUUUGCCGAGUGUCCUAUUGUAGACACUCGGCAAAGCAGCCUUCACCGAGUGUUACCCCUGGGACACUCGGCGAAUUAAUGCCCGGCCGCUCAAGAAUAUGUGCCCGGCCCCCUCACUCUCCCGGCCCCCCUCACUCUCACUCCCCUCACUCCCUCCUCUCUCCCUCCUCUCUCCCUCUCGCCGCCGCCCGAAACCCCCGCCGCCGCCCGCCGCCCGGCAUGCCGCCCAGCGCCCCCCGCCGCCGCCCGGCGCUCCCGAAUCCGCCGCCGCCCGCCCGGCGCCCGGCCCCCGGAUCCGCCGCCGCCGGCCGCCCGGCGCCCCCGGAUUCGCCGCCGCCCGCCCGGCCCCCGGCCCCCGGAUCAGCCGCCGCCCGCCGCCCGGCGCACGGCGCCCCCGGAUCCGCCGCCGCCUGCCCGGCGCCCGGCCCCUGGCCCCCUGAUCCGCCGCCGCCCGCCCGGAUCCGCCGCCGCCCGCCCGGCGCCCGGCCCCCGGCCCCCGGAUCCACCGCCGCCCCCCCGGCCCCCGGAUCCGCCGCCCGCCCGUCCCCUCCACCGGAUCCGCCGGCGCCGGGGCCUGAAGAGAAGAGAAGAGGAGAGGAUGGUGGCGGCGGCGGCCGCGGCGGCGGAGCAGGUGGCAGAGCAUGCAUGAUUUUUUUUUAUUUUUUCAAUAAUUGUUCGCCAAGUGUUUUCUGGGCACUCGGCAAAGUCUUUGCCGAGUGCCCGACACAAAACACUCGGCGAACCAGUGUUUGCCGUCAAGAUUUUUGCCGUGUGUCGUUUGCCGAGUGUUACACUCGGCAAACGCUUUGUCGAGUGUUUUUGGGGUUUCGCGGAGUGACCCUGGCACUCGGCAUCACGCAUGUUUCCCUUAGUGAACUUGAAAUUAUCUGUACAUUCUCGGUGAAGCUGUUGAACUAAUUUUUGCAAAUUAUUAAUUCAUCUCAUUACGCAAAGAAAAAAGUAAGUGGAUAAGAUAUUUCGUGGACCACAUCACUGCAAACAUGUCAUGGAGAGACAGACCAAGGAGGCAGGACGUGAUACACGACUUACCCUAGGUUGCCGUGGAACCGCCAAGAAGAGAUACAGAUACAUGGACCACACCAUCUUGGGAGUAGUGACAGCAUAUAUGCAGAAGAAUACCCCGUGCCUAUUUGCAUGCAUGUCUCAAGUGAUCUGUUUUCUUCAGAAAAUACAUGAGCAUUGCCAGAAAGAAUGGCAAGAGACAAACAUGUCAUAGAGACUUGCAUGUCUUGCCUUGGAUACGCCAAGAAGAGGGACACAUACAUGGAUAACACAAAUCUAGUGACACGUAUAUUCAUCACAAAGGCAAAUCUGAUAAUUUUAUCCAUGGAGCAGACCAAGGAGAAAUUGAUGACGGACAUGUGAUCUCUGUAUUCAGUUGAAAGCUAAUUGAGCUACACUAAUAUGAGCAGGACUAUAUUCAAGAGACUUGUUGAGAGCUACAGGGAACUUGUAAUAAUUUGCUGGGCGGCCUGCGCACAAUGAUUUGUUAUACAUAGUUGAAAUAUUUCAAGAAUUUAUCAACCUCAUACUCUGAAACCCUUGGUGCAAUGUACUCUGCUUUCCGAGGUAGACUGUUCACGUAAAAUGAGGUCAUGCGUAAGACGGAAUCGGAUUGGAUUCACAGGGAAUCAGAUUUGGAUAGCACCUUUUAGCAGGUUUUUAGUCAAAUGCAAAUUCGGAUCCACAUGUGGUUGAAUGCGAGUUCAAAAUUCUACUUGGAUAUCCAUUUAAUUUAGGUGAUAGCAAUUAGCACAAAAUGUUGGAUGAACAAAAUCAUAGUUAGACAUACAAUUACAUGUAUGGUUAAAGUAUAAUACAAUACACCAAGAUUAUUCCUUGAAAAUAUUUCUUAAAAAUAUUAUAAUAAAUGAAUAAAUAUAAUUGUGGCCACCAACAAAUAGUCGGUGGUCGCUAAGUUGGAGCCAUUUCUGGUUACUAAUGCGGCCUUCUCCUCGACCAGCGACGACAGCUGAGCUUGUUCCUUCUGACACUAAAUCAUCAGAGUCUUCCCUCCACUACUAUAGAAUGCACCUUUAGCACCAAUUGGGAAAUCCCCUUCAGUAUUGGAUGCUGCAACCAGUGCUAUAUAUCAAAAUGGAGACUAAAAGCCUCGGUCUUGGGUACCGGUUGCAUAACGCAUUACUAAAGGAGGCAAAAGAGAAAUGUAACAAAAAAAAUAUUUUGAAUUCCAAGAAUGUUUCACUAUUCAAGAUGACUAGCUGAGAGUCAACAGACAAGAUACUAGGAAUGUGGGUGCUUGAAUGCAUUUGUACAGAGGUCAUACUAUUUACAAACUCUUCUAUGUUUCCAUAUGACUACCUACUUCAAUGUCACGCGAGCCAUUCAGCUGGACACAUGGCACACUAGCUUGCAUGUCGAAUCCAUGAUUAAUUAUUUGCACUUGUGAUCUCUUACCAGUAUUUGUCCAGACUAGAAACGUGCAACACAUUUUUAGGAUAUGGACACGCAUAUAUUUGGACUAGUAUACAGGUCACCUUUGGAUGCGUACAAGGAUGACCGGGAGGGACUAAUGGAUACAAGGAAGGGACCAUCAGGAUUAAUAUUGACAUAUGCCACAUGACAAUCUUCAUUGUCAUGCAAUCCCUAUCAACAAUCAUGGAAUCCCUAGUGUACUAAUCCCUGGAGGGUUGUGUGGAAAUUUAUUUUACCUUGCGGUGAAAAUCUCAUGAGCAGUCAUUAGUUAAGCUGACUAGCUGAGAUAUAAUAGACAAGCUAGUAAGAUUGGGAGCAUCAAUGCAUCCAUACAGGGUCACAAUAUCCUUUCCAUUCACUUUUAUAUAUAACCCUACGAAUACAAGUCCAACGAAAUGCGGGCCUUUCGAUCAAGAUAAAUUAAAUGGCCCACUUGUAUUUCUAAUCCAGGAUUAACUAUGCCCUCUGUUCAUCUCUUGCAAGCACGUGCAACACAUUUUCACGAUAUGGACAUGCAUGGAGGUUAUUAUACUGUUUGGACAAACUCUGAUGUGCCAUGACCUAAAUGCUUAGGGCCUGUUUGGUUUGAGUUGCUUAUUAUAAGCAACUUAAAGUUGCUUAAAGUUGCUUAUUUGAAGUUGCUUAUUUUUAGUCUAAACUGUUUGGAUACCCUUGCUUAUGAGCAUUGAAUGAGUUGGACAUUGUCAAAUUUGCCCCAUGUGUUGCUACCCCUCCAAUUUGCCUCCCCACCCUUCUUCUUCCUGCACACGUCCGAUCCCGGGGGCCGACGGCGGGCAGGGAGCAGCAGCAGCUGGCCAGGGCGGCGGUGGGGCGGGAGCGGCGGCGCACACCAGCACGCGCUCGCACGCCAGGUGCUAGGGCGCGGCGAGGCAGUCGUCGUAGCCCACCGGGAGCGGGUGCUCGGGCGCGAGGCGGUACUCGACGGAGAUGCCGAGCGUCGGGCGCGCGGCGGCGAGCGCGUUGAGGAAGCGAUGGUAGUGCGGCGACGUCGCGGACUCCGCCACGAAGCCGCCGCCGUGGACGUACACCACCACGGGCAGCUUCGUCUUGCCGUCGGCGGCCGCGGCCGCGGCCUGGGGUGGCAGGUAGAGGCGGACGGAGCAGGAGCCGAGGUCGACGUCCCUGGAGUCGACGCCCGUGGCGGCGUCCAGGCUAGGCCCGACCGGCGGCGGCACGAGCGGGCGCUCGAUGCGGCCGCUCUUGUAAAUCCGACGGGUCUGUGCGGAGGCGGGCGGCGGGCGGGAGCGGCGGGUGGGAGCGGCGGCAGGUGGUGCGGAGGCCGGCGGCGGCGGGUGGCGCGGAGGAAGGGGAGCUGGUGAGUGGUGACAGGGGAGGGGGGGAGAGAGAGGGGGGGGUAGGGUGCAUUGAAUGAGGGCAGGAGGUGUAAAGUGCACCUUUUAGUCCCCAUGAGCAACCAUAAGCAGCCCAAGAGUUGCUUAUUUGCUUAUAAUAAGCAACCUCAUAAGCAAGAGUGAUUGGUUUCAUAAGCAACUUAUUUGCUUAUUUUAAGUUGCUUAUGCAUAAGCAUGUGAAACCAAGCAGGUCCUUAACCUAUGGUUGUGGCACCACACAGUACAUAGUAUUUAAUAAUGCUAUUCGUUUGGUAUGUGCACAAGGGCACGCAUGAAAUGUCUGGCCCACGGUAAACAAGUACGGACGCUGCAAAUAAUCUACUCUGCUCGUCCAGUCCCUAGCCUAUAAAUAGAUGCCAUGCUAGCUCUUGUUGUGCUCACAAUUAAUCCUGACUACACACGAGCUUCUCUCCCUGGCCAAGACACAAUCAUAGUAUGAUGAAGAACAUGGCACUAGCCGGCAAUGGUAUGAAGAACUUAAUCCUCGCUGUUCUCUUACUGUGUCUAGUUAUAGGGCAGAUACAAGUGGAAGCUAAGAGCUGCUGCCCAUCCAUUACUGCAAGAAAUAUCUACAAUGCCUGCCGUAUCACGGGUACAUCCCGUCCAACGUGUGCAAAACUGUCAGGCUGCAAAAUUAUCAGCGGGGACAAAUGCAAGCCCCCUAACGACCACCUCACCCUUGACCCGGACACUGGUAAAUAAUAAAUUUAUCUCACUUGAUUUCUUCGUGUUUUGAGUCGUUAAUGUAUUUUCCAUCUGAUGAAACGUAUUGGUUUUGCAUUGAAGAGGAAGUUAAUGUGCUUAACUUCUGCAAGUUGGGGUGUGCGUCGUCUGUGUGCAACAACAUCAACGCUGGUAAGCACCUUUUGCUCAGACGGAGAAAACAAUAAUCAUUAAUUAGCGGCAGCUAGAAUCCUAUAAUCUAAUAUAUUUAUAUAUAUAUAUAAUUUUAUCAGCUCUGGGAAAUGAAGAGGCGAACGAUGCCGUUGAGAGUUGCGACCAAGCCUGCUCUAGCUUCUGCAACGUGCACGUUGGCGCUGCCACCGUGGUUGCUUAAGCAAAUGCAUCCAACUGGAUCGUCCUUGUGCUAAAUAAUUGGAUAUCGUAUCCACUUAAAGCUGCCUUGUGUAGUACGUUUUUGUUUGUGUCUCUCUUUAUAUUCCAAUAAGGUCGGUGAUCUUGAUGCCACACACUCAGACGUGUGUUCAUCUCCAGAUACUACUCCAUGCUACCUGCCCUUUGUGUUUUGUUCAAUAACUGGGUAUCAUAUCCCAGCCAGUGUGCCAUCUGUUUUGUGUUUAUUUCCUUCUAGUUUCAAAGGGGUUAUCAU
This 24136-nucleotide long non-coding RNA is filed under the name Setaria viridis. RNAcentral describes it as "long non-coding RNA (SVIR_LNC007217)". The record is from RNAcentral. Lineage: Eukaryota; Viridiplantae; Streptophyta; Magnoliopsida; Poales; Poaceae.